Molecule: ribosomal RNA, 394 nt
Filed under: uncultured bacterium
Lineage: Bacteria
Description: partial 16S ribosomal RNA
Rfam family: Bacterial small subunit ribosomal RNA
Source: RNAcentral
AUACGUAGGGGGCUAGCGUUAUCCGGAAUUACUGGGCGUAAAGGGUGCGUAGGUGGUUUCUUAAGUCAGAAGUGAAAGGCUACGGCUCAACCGUAGUAAGCUUUUGAAACUAAGAGACUUGAGUGCAGGAGAGGAGAGUAGAAUUCCUAGUGUUGCGGUGAAAUGCGUAGAUAUUAGGAGGAAUACCAGUUGCGAAGGCGGCUCUCUGGACUGUAACUGACACUGAGGCACGAAAGCGGGGGGAGCAAACAGGAUUAGAUACCCUGGUAGUCCACGCCGUAAACGAUGAGUACUAGCUGUCGGGGGUUACCCCCCUCGGUGGCGCAGCUAACGCAUUAAGUACUCCGCCUGGGAAGUACGCUCGCAAGAGUGAAACUCAAAUGAAUUGACGGGG